AGAACUCCUACUCAUGUGUCAAAACUCAGGACAAGGGGUCCUCCUGCAAUACACCCUCCAAGCCCACAGGCCAGUGCCUAGAAAAACGUCCAGCACAAAGCAGUAGACGGUGUCAGGAGAUACACAGCAAACGUAGCUCCCAAUCUUUCCUACGAGGAGCCUGAAAUGAAAUGGACAAGCACACAGCUGAGUAUAAAGCCCUCUUCCUGCCAUCAGCCAUUGAAAGGUUUUCCCCUUACUAUAUCCCCUCAAAGAGGAGACCAAAUGAAAAGAGGCUUCACAACGUCAUCACCGAAUCCAAAAGGAGUAAAUAAUCUCUAGUCGUGCUUUAAUUAUGUGUCAGCUUCCUGUGUCAGAUAUAAUGAAGAUGUGUCACAUCUGGGAUUCAUCUAGCUCCCGUGACCUCAGUCAAUGUCUCCCUUCAGGAUGGAGCCUUAAUAAUCUACCCAAUAUUACAGAGAAAUCUGGGAGGCAGUGAGUCUAGAUCUUGGAUUAUAGAAUCAGAGUUUAGAGUUUUAAAAGCUCCUUGGAGAAGCAUUCCGUACAUCCACAUCACUUUCAGAAUGGAGGACCUGAAACAGGGCCACUGAGAGCCCACACCAUGCCUGUGUGUGAAUUUAAAGGUGCAUCUGUUCAUCCCAAGGGAAGGGAACCACCUGGUCUCCUAAAUGUGCCAAAGCACUACCGAAUCUCCCGAAAACGUCAGUGCCUGCGAGGAUCUGCGGAUUUCUGAAGACCAGCACGUUCACUUGCAAGUACAGGUUUGGGACAAGACACUAUAUCAGACUCUGAAAAGUCAACAUAAAAAGCACUAAAAGAACUGCUAUUGCCGAGAGGGCCUAGAGGCAAUAGCACUCAAUAGCAACAAGCAAACCCAGGAACCAGAUCUGGGUUUCUGAUACCAUUGUCCAAUAGAAGGAAUUCAGCUCCUUUGGAGAAACAGCUGAUUCUAAGGCUGGAGCAUGUAAUAUACAAGAUGAACCUGGGGUAUCUUGUAGCACAGAAAAUAAGGAAGUGCUCAAAAACCAAACUGAUGGGAUAUGUCAAGGGGACACAAGAGUCAGCUGAAAGAGCUCCCACAGGCUACUUGAAGAGCAAAAUAAAUAAUAUAGUAUUGGAUUAUAACCCAAAGUCUAAAAUAAAUAAUUCUGAGCCCUGUUAUGGGCUGAAUUGUAUCCUCCCCCCCAAAAAUUAUUUGCUGAAGCCCUAACCACCGGUGAUACUAUAUUUGGAAAUAGGGCCUUUAAGGAAGUAAAUAAGGCUAAAUGAGGUCAUAAGUGUGGGGUCCUAGUCCCGAAGGACUAGUGCCCUUUUAAGAGGAAGAGACACCAGAAAUCCUUCUCUCUUGGUAUGUGCACAGUGAGGAUAUGGUGAGAAGGUAGCCAUCUGUAAACUGAGGAGAGAGGUCUCAUCAGGAACCAACCCUACUAUUACCUAGAUCUUAGAGUUCCAGCCUCCAGAGCAGCAAGAAAAUUAAUUUCUAUUAUUGAAGCCACCCAGUCUAUGGUAUUUUGUUAUGGCAGCCCUAGUAGACUAAUGCAAGUCCAUACUAAUAUAAAUGACUGAAUAUACAGAUAAGUGGGGAGAAGAGACAAAUUCCUAUACAUUAGAAUUUUUAAAAAAUGUAUGUGGAUACUGCCCCCUUGAGGAGGUAGAGCACAACUCCCUACACUGUGUGCAGUGACUUUCUUCCAAAGAUACAGUAUGGAAAGGGGGUAAAAGUACAGAAGAUUAACAUCAUCAGUGGUAAUUCAUGUUGAUAAUGUACCCUUGAUAUGACGUAGUGAGAACGGCACUUUACCUCCCCCAAACUAUAAUCCCAGUCGAAGCAAAAGAAAAACAUUAGACAAACCCAAAUUGAGGGCCACUUUACAGAAUUUCUCCAAAGUGUCCAGGUCACCCAAAAGAAGCAAAGUCUAAAACUGUCACAGUUUAAUGGAUCCUAAGGAGACAUGAUGACUAACUGUGAUGUGAGACCCUGGAUGGAAUCCUGGAGCAAAGCACUAGGUAAAAACUAAAGACAUCUGAAUAAGGUAUGAGUUUCAGUUAAUAACAAUGUGUCAAUAUUGGUUCAUUAGUUAUGAUUAAUGAACAUAUUCAUGUUAGAUCUUAACAGGGGAUACUGGGCACAGGGUAUAUAUGGAAACUACCUGUACUUUUUUUUUUUUUUUUUUUUGGUAAGCUUGCUGUAAAUCUAAAGCUAUUCUAAACUAAACAGUGUAUUUAAAACAAAAAUGUGAAAUGGUGCAUUUGUUAUGUCUUCCACACGACUUCUAUUUUAUAUUGUUUCUCUGAAUAUUCCAAAGUGAAUAUUCACUUACUGUGUGUUGGGAGCAGAGUUUAGCUUAGUUUUGUUUCUUCUCACUGAGCAGGGCCCAUGUGUAGUCCAUAUUCUGCCACAUCUUGGUAGAAGCCCAGCUGAUAAAGAUUUGGGGGAGAGGGGAAGGUGGAGGAUCAAAAUUGAGCAUGUUUAUCUGCACGAAUAAGGAAUUCUUGUAGGUAUUUUUUAAAGAUUCAUGUGAGUCCUCAUGUUUGAAACAUCUUCACAGUUGUAUUCUCUCUCUUUCAAUUUUUUUUCUCUUUCUGUAGACAAUAUCUGAAAAUCCCUGAAAAAAAGACAUGCUUUUAGAUGUUUUGGAUUAAAUUCUCCAUUGUCUUUUUUCCUUUGAAUCCUCUUGUUCUCUUUUCCCACAGAGAAACUCCCCGAUUUUUUCAUUUUAUUUUAAGAUUAUGUUACUGAACCAGAUGAUACAGUUUUCAUCCUUUGCUUCUCAGGCUUAGAAAGAAAGAAAGAAAGAAAAAAUGCCCGUGCUGUGGGAUUUAGCAAACACUUCUCUCUUCUCUUCCAGACCCUGUCAGCUGCACUUUUCCAACCGCAGUCAAAGUGGCUCUACAACUCCAAACCCUGUUCCUCCUGGAUUUUCGUGCUGGCCGUCAACCAAGAACUGGCUCCAGCUGUACUGGCCUCUAAUUUGCUUAACUCUUUCCUCUUCUUUACUCUUAUGUUGAGAGUUAGAGAUGGAGGAAAGGAGAUUCAUUCAUUCUUCCCACAAGUAUUUAUCGGACACCUAUUAUAUGCCAGCCACUGGGGUUACAGCAGUGAAUAAGGCAGGCGAGGUCCCUGCCCAUAGAAACCACAUUGUGAAGGAUGGGUAACAUCAUGGCGCACUUAUUAUUGCUACAAGAUUUAUUUGCAUGUGUGCUUUCAUUUAGUGCUGAUGAUGUAGGCACUACUGUCAUCCUCAUUUACCGAGACACAGAUGCCAAUUGACUUACCCAAUAUCAUGCAGCUAGUAAGUGACGGAGACACAAUUUAAAUCAAAGGACUCAGAUUCCAGAACGCUUGGAUUCCUAACCGUGAUAAUAUUGAUAAAAUUGUUCUUUUGUGUAGAUAAAUACGGUCCUAUUUCUAUCUUUCUCUUUCGACUCUAAAAAAAAAUUAAAUGCUGCUUCUAAACAAUAUCUGUAGUCUCAUGACAAUUCGAAAAAGAAAAAGCAGUUUUUUUCUUUUCUUUUUUUUUUUUUUGAAGAAAAUGGUGCCGUUGGCAUUCAAUAGUUGCUUUUGUAGCAUCCAUCACCUCUCCCAUUUCUAGGUGAACCACAGCCCCCCGCCCCCACCCCAUUGCAGAGUAUCCAGGUGGUUCAGGUGGGCUGAACCCAGCAGGAACUCUACGGCGAGGCUCUGACUGGCGUAAGCCAAACAGCCUGUGCCUCUUUCCGGCCAUGUGAUUGGUGGGGGGAUGAAGCUCGUGCCCCAGGCAUAAACCAAUCAACGCCUGGCAUUCUAAUAGCUACUAUGAUUCGUUCAGGUUUAUAGAACGAGAGACGCGAGGUGAGGCGCUUUCUCCUCCAGGUUAGGAAGGAGGUGGUACGUAACCCCAGUUGCUGGCAGCCAUCCUGGAGUAGGAAACUGAAAGCACAGAUAAACGGAGCUAAAGUUCUAAUUCCACCGCGUCUGAUGUCUUCCUCACUCCUCGACUUUUCAGACUCGCUCCCAGCAGUGCAUAGAACUCAGCUUGCUGCCAGCCUGUGUGCAUCUUCAAGGACUCGGGGGACUUGCUGCUGCAGUUCUGUGAAAACAAAGCUGUAUCUUCUCCAAGGGGUAUUCCAGGUACACCCCAUAGAGCUCCUCUAAAAAGUGUAAUGCUGGAUAGAAAGACAAUGGGGCCAGUUGCUGGCACUGGAAGAAGACACCCCCUGCCACAGUAUUUCAAGACACCGGAGGCCAUUCGUGAGGGAAGUAAAUAGCGGUUCAGCACCAACUGUCUCUAUGGCACCUUCCAACUCAAAAGCCAGUGGGAGCUCCCAACUGUGAGGGCCCAAAGAGAAAAAGAAACAGCAUCAAAAGCAGUGGUACAUCAGAUAAACAGAAACAUCUCCGAAAAAGCUUACUUUCAAGAACCAAAUGAGGUGGAGGCUUAAAAUUCUUACAGUGUAAACUGAAGGUUAAAUAAGAAUGGCUGUUGGAAUUUGUGGAUGAGUGCUGUCACUGAAAUUCUCACGGAGGAGAAGGUAUACAGCUGGAGAUGAGAUUUUACGCAAGGGGGAACAUCUGGAGACACAAGAUGAAGAUAUAGUCAUUCUUCCUAUUCACAAUCUGUUGCAUUUCAACCUUUAUUACUAGUAAGUGAUGAGCCAAAGUUUGAAAUGAGUUUUAAAACAUUACUUCAAAAUUUCUAAAUAUUAAUUAAAAGUAUGAUAUAAAUAGUAGGAAAGGGAAUAUUGUUUUUCUCGGUCAAAAUAAAACACUCUUUUGGGGGAAGAGGUGGCAGAGAAUAUAAAUGAAGCAUCAUUUUAAUCUUCCUACAAAGUGAAGUUUUGGGAAAUUACUACCAUUUAUAAAGUUGGGGGAACAAGGAAGAUUCCAUUUUUAGCCAGAGAAAAAGGUCUGCAUCAAAUUCUCUGGCAUUAAAGAUUCCAGAAAAUGCAGGAGUGCAAAAAAAAAAAAAAUAAAGUAAAAUGUUCACUGCUUAUCAUCUGCCUCUGGUUAUGAACAUAUAAAAAAAUUAGGCUACAGAAAAUGUGUUCUUAGCUCUUGUUCGAAUAGGCCUGGCCUGAUAUAGAAAGAUCAGUUGAAGCCUAGGGAAAACUCCUGGCAUACUCUGGUUUAACAAGUGUUCAUUUAGAGUAAGGGCUGCCACAUGUUUUCUGUAAUGGGCCAAAAAGUAAAUACUUUUGGCUUUGCAGGCCAUAAGGUAGCAUGAUAAUACAAUGCAUAGGCAGCAAGAUGGUACGAUAUAUAAACAAAUGCACAUGGCUGUGUUCCAAUAAAUUACAAAAUAGGUGGUAGGGCUUGAUUUGGCCUGUGGGCCAUAGUUUGCUGACCCAUGAUUUAGAGAAUAUAUUAUAUUUUUUCCCCAAAUGCUCUAACACUGAGUAAACAUGCCUUCUUUUGACUCAUCUGCAGAUAUAAUGAUACCUUAAUCACCUUACUAGGUUUUACCAAGAUGAUAUUCUGGUUCUCAUCUGAGAGAGAAAAGAGGGUAGGAAGUUCUAGCUGGCAGGAACAGAAUCAUGAGAGGCAGAAAGAUGUGAAUUAGUGUAGCACAAGGGGAACUGACAGAGCUGAAGAGGACUGAGAACUGUGAGAGGCAAGGAGUACUUAGGCAGGGAAAUCAGUGUUGAUGGGAGAACGAACUGACUCUGAACGUGCAGGGUUUGCAGGUGAUGCACGUGGCUGUCUUAAUGCUCGGCACACUACGAUCACCCAGGGCUGCCCAUCGUAGGCUUCUCAUGCGCCAGGAGAAAGAGGCCAUGGGCCCUAGAGGAGGUCAAGGCUGGAGAGCCUGCCAGGUAAGACACGGAAACAGGUGAACACAGAUUACUUCAAAGACGUCAGAAUAGAGCAUUUCCAAAAAGGAAUUUAGAGAAGUUCUUGCUUGAAGCUUAAAGGUGUGAAAAAAGUAUCUCAAAAUGCUGUGAGGAAACAACAAAAAACCUCCAGAUGUAAACUACCAAAACAGAAAUUCCUUUUUUCCUCUCAAAAUACAACCUAGUGGUAGUGGUCAGGUUCCACAUAAUAAAACCAUCAACUCUAACUGUCAUGACUAAUAAAGCAAAUUGUGUCUUGAAUGAUUAAGAAACAAAAAUCUUGCUUGCUCCUUUGAUCUCAGUGAUAUACUAAUAGCUAAUAUGCUAAACUCCUUAGGAAUUAACCAUUCUUAAUCAUAUCACUUAUUUUAAGAUGUGUUUAUACAAGAGGGGUGAAAAAAAACAAAGGCCAAAACAAAAAAGAUUACAGUAAAUUCUAAUGAAAACAUUCCAAAAGUUUUCAUCCACAAAUCAAAACCAGUACAAUCUUCCAAAUUGAUUAUUGCUUGCUUAUUCUGAAUGUUUACAAUGCUUUUUAGAUUAUUAUAGAAAAAGAUCUCUUAGUUAAAGCUUGUUUAAAUUUAUAUAAUGUUUAAACGUUUAUAGAUGAAAUCAGGACAAGUUAUGAAACCACCUUCUCUUCCCAUUAAAGUGCUUCAUCCUGAACUCCUUUUACCUUUCUAAUUCGAUUUAAAAUAACAAAUUCCAACACUCACUUUUACCAAUUUAUUUAACUUAAACACUUCUGAACAAGGCUUCCGGUUUAAGACCUGGAGCAGAAUGAUCCAUGUAGUAAUUUUGGUAAUAUAUUAAUAUUAUAUAUAUUUCGUAUUUGCAUAGCAAGUUUGAACAGCAAGUAUAGAAUACCAUUAAUUGAGAAAGAGUCCUUUACAACCUUAAGAUAUACAACUUGUGUGAGAUAUAACUGCCAAAUUUUUCUCAUUGCACAUGAAAUGAUUUAACUAGAAAGGAUAAAGUAAAAUAGAACUCUUACGUAAAGACUGUGUAGGUGUGAAUAAUAAUACAAAGAAGGGAUUCUACCCUUAGAUUUUCCAUUUCCAAGACUUAAUAUGGCAAUAGCUUUCAGAUUACAUAUUUAUUUUUCCCACAUAACUAUCCACACGGCCAUAAUGUUUUGAUACUGUCAAGCCUAUUAGAUGACAUAAAGACCUAGUCUAUACAUUUAAUGUCACAAUCUAAUGGAAGAGAGAAAAAUAUGUUCCUAUGUUUCCACAAAUAUUAUUAAUAUUAUCUUAAAAUUACCUUCUCAAAUAACAUUCAAACAUACAUUAAUCCCCCACCCUCAAAAAACUGUUGAGUUAUAAAUAAGUAGAGAUUCCAAUGAUGUAAUUCCAAAUUAUCUAAGUCAGCAAGGAUACUUGUAAGCAUUUUCUUUUUUUUCAUCCCCAGUUGUAGCACUUAGGAGAAGACUUCACUGUGUACUGCACCUGAAACUCUUUAAGGUACUCCCACUAGCAAGAGAUUCUGAACAUGAGUCUAAUAUUUAAAUAAUAUUUUAAUUCACUAUGCUUUUAAACUCUGAUUUAUCAUCAACAUUAUUUUUACUUUAAAAGUAGUUCUCUACACUAGUCAAAUAUAAUCAGAUGCUUUCAUCACAGGACUGUUAGGGCAAACAACCAAUUUACUGGUCAACAGGGAUCGCUAAACAAUAUAGCGUUUAAAAUUAUCUAGCCUCACCCAACUUCCCUUAACUGGCAAAGUGCUACAGAAGAGAAGAGGGGGGAAAAAACCCCCAAAAGCCAACAAACAAACCAAAAAACCACCAAGGUGUAACGGGACUAUCUAAUAUCCUGGAGUCAUGAAACAAAUAUCUUUUCCAUGUAGCACUGUCUGUUCACCAUAAACCUUUUAAAAUGUUGUAAAAUUAGCUACCCUUCUAAACACCUACAGAAAUAUAAGCAGGGCCCGUGUUCAGCUCGUUAGCUAGGUGUAAGUAUGUAGCUCAUUACUGGAAAGGUCUUUAAAGCUUACUUAUUAUACCUUUCAUCAUUAUCAGGAGCAAUCUGCUGUCAGGAAUAAUCAAGGAGCCUCUGAGAACUUGUCUUCAGGAAUGAUCAUGCACACACAGAUGACAUUCUAGCUUGCAGACAACAUCUGACAGUGCUACUAAGAGUCCUUCCAAAACAAUAAUAAAGUUAACUGGUAUAUAAUUUCCCUUUAGCCUUUAAGUAAAAUUUUGCUUUAAAAAUCACUUUAUUGGGCUUCCCUGGUGGCGCAGUGGUUGAGAGUCCACCUGCCGAUGCAGGGGACGCGGGUUCGUGCCCCGGUCCGGGAAGAUCCCACGUGCCGCGGAGCGGCUGGGCCCGUGAGCCAUGGCCGCUGAGCCUGCGCGUCCGGAGCCUGUGCUCCGCAACGGGAGAGGCCGCAACAGUGAGAGGCCCGCGUACCGCAAAAAAAAAAAAAAAAGAAAAAAAAAAUCACUUUAUUGUAUGUUCCAUAUUGACUCUUCACUAACUACCUAGGAAAAUAAUUUGGGAACCAGUGUGAAACAUAUUGUAAAUCAGUUGUCAAAUGCUCUCAAGUAUAUAAUGUUCUUCAGUGCCAGUGUUAGAAACAGAAUUCGGUUAAUGCCAUUAAUUGAAAGUAAGUAGGGCAGUGGUCCUUUUUCUUACUCUUCCAUGAUUUCCCAAACAAUGCGCAAAAGGCCCAGCUACUCCAAAACAGCCCACUGCUGACUUGCGUUGUGUCAGCAGAGAAGUCAGGGUAGGAAACAUAAAGCAAAGCCCUUUGGGAUUCUUUCUACACAGGAACAUACACUCUAAAUGUGUAAGUGAAAUAAGGUAGUAGGAGGAAAGUCUCCGACAGAUAUGAUCUGCCAUGAUCAUUACAAUUAUUAUAAUAUUAACCACUGGGCUUCUUUUUCUCCCUAUUGCCACAACUGUACAACUCACAGUAGGGACCCCUCUAGCCUUUCUCCAGUGGUUUCUGCCAGAGAAUUCAUCCCUCAGGCCCAAGGCGUCCACUCUCUUAUGCAUCUAGAAUCACUUUCUGUGUUCUCUCGUUUACUAUGAAGAACCGGACCGAGAGAAGCUCUUUGCCAUUUAACUACUGUAUGUCAUUAAAGAAACAGCUAACACAGCCAUUACUCUCUAGGCACAUGGACACCUACAAAAUUCAAGAAAAAUGAUUAUCUGCCUUUUUUAAAUGGUAGAAAUUAAUACUAUAUAAUCACCUGGGCAAAAAUCAAUCUGACAGUCAAAAAUUCCUCCUUAUUUCUAGGCAAAGACUCUUUAUAUCCUUUAAAUUAAACUCUGUUAAAUCACAUGGACCCACAGUUACCCAUGGUGGUAGAUUUGGUACUGUUGUUCUCAAUUCCUUGCGCUUCCCUGUAAGAGUACAAUCGCUGCUUUUUGCUAUGGGACCCGUAGUACCUCUUUGUGGGUGUCUACUUCCUAGCCGCACUGACAUCAGGAAUUAGCCAGGUGCCUUUUUUGGCCAGAGAAAUACAAGCAGAAGUGACAUUCUGCCAGCUCCUGGAAGAGCUUUAAGUGUCGUCAGUGGCUGGGCCAGGCGUCUUCCUCUUCUCCCUCUGCCAGGAGAACUGCCCCUUCCUGACAGAGGCUACUCCUCGGUCCGGAUCACAGCAGGGGAGAGGCACCUGGAGGACACGUGCAGCCAGCAUACAAAUUAAGAGAAAGAAGCUUCGGUGUGUGUGUGGGGGGAGAGGGCUAUGGUGGGAACAGUUUGCCCCAGCACAGGCAAAAAGACGGUGCACUGUUUGCAGUUUAAACGUAAUAAAACUCACUUUGUCAAAUUCCUCUUUAUCAUCAUCCCAUGCAGGCAGUUCUAGACAAUUUCAGUGGUCAGACAUCCCACCUACCUGGGGUGGACUGCUCUCAUUGCCUCCCCUCCCCACUUCUUGGCUACUACUGCGUAAAUCACUCAAAUUUUAGGAUUGUUUGUGACUUCAGGAAGCUGGCAAAAAGAAUUAAACCCUAAUAUUCUGGCUGGGGUUUCAGCUCGCUUAUGUCACAUGUAUAAUAUCUGCUCGUCCCAUUCAAACUUGACCUAUUUUUUCCUCUUCUAUUCCUCCAUGCUACCCACUGACACUGAUUUUAACAAUACAAGCUGCAUAUGGAGAAUCUCCACAUAUACACACUUCCUGUGUUUCCUAUGAAAAUGGAUGCCUAGAAAGAUGACUGACAUAGUAGUCCACACAACACUGGUCAUUUAAGCUUGGUAGGCUUGGAUUAGUAUAAAUGCAAAGUGAGGGACCUCCCUGACCCUACAUUCCCCCAAAUCCUACCUCCUUUUCUAUUAUUUUAAACAGGGUUUUACUGUGAAAAAUAGUGAAAAUACUCAAUUUUUAAUACUCUUAAGUUUUAUCAAGCUUCACAGAGAAGUUCUUACUGUUCAUUAAGUAACUGUUCUACUUCCAUGAAUAGGCUUUACAUUCAUGACUUGAAUGUUCAUGUUUAGCCUUUCAUAUCAAGAUAAGCAUGCAAACAUAGUAUAGAUGGGGGGCUUCACUGGUGGUGCAGUCAUUGAGAGUCCGCCUGCCGAUGCAGGGGACACGGGUUCGUGCCCCGGUUCGGGAAGAUCCCACGUGCCACGGAGUAGCUGGGCCCGUGAGCCAUGGCCGCUGAGCCUGCGCGUCCGGAGCCUAUGCUCCGCAACGGGAGAGGCCACAACAGUGAGAGGACCGUGUACCGCAAAAACAAAAACAAAACAAAACAAAUAUAGUAUAGAUGGUCUGGGGAGAAAUGAUUAUUUCAGCUGGUACUGUACCUGAUCCCAAUUUUUGCUUCCAUCUUAAUCUCCUAGCACAACGAGUAUGGUUCAGCCAUACUGAACCAAUUACUAUUCUCCAAAUAUAGCCCGAAGUUUCCCAACCCACAUCUCUUGCCUUUUUGCUUACGCUUUUCCCAAGACUAGAAUACAUUCAUUUCAUCUAAGUCUAAUAUACGUCAUGUCCUUUAAUUCAAGUAUCAGCCCUCUGCACCCCCCUCCCCUCUUUCAAUCUCUGUUUCACACUACAAUAAAAAUUUGCUUGUUUUCCUAAGGGACAGAAGUAGCUAAAAGCUCGGGAGACAGAAUCCUUGCUUUAGCCAGUAGGUGUUAGUUUUCUCUGGCCCCAGAGUAUAAAAUGUAGAUGAAAACGGAACGUAUUUCACAGGGUUGCAUUGAGGAUUGAAUGACAAAUGCAUGUAAGAUGCUUAUCACAGUGCCUGAUACGGAGCAAGCACUCAGUAGAAUUACCUAGUAAACUAUUAUAAUGUAUUAUUAUUACUAUUUUUGGCCUCACGGCGUGGCAUUCGGGAUCUUAUUUCCCCGACCAGGGACUGAACCCGCACCCCCUACAGUGGAAGCGUGGAGUCGUAACCACUGGACUGCCAGGGAAGUCCCUACAAUGUUAUUAUGAAUCCUUGCAUUUCAACAGUACUUAGCACCAUGCCCAGUGUCUGCUCUACUAGGUACUGGGGGAAAGCAGCUAAAUCAGGUAGUACCCGAUCACAAGGAGGUAGGAAGUUUAAAGAAAUUCCACGAGCAUAAGGGAGUGAGAGAAUCAGCAAUCACAUCACGAAAGCUGUCAAGCAAGGCUGGACCAUGAAUGCUGAGCAGGACUGUGAUCACAACCUGGGCAGAUGAUAACAUAAACAAAAGCACAGGAAAAUAAACAAAAUCAUAAACCUGUUAAUACUUACUAUCAUACAUUAAAUAUAUGCUAUAAGGCCUUUUCUGCUACCCACUCCAUUUGCUACAAUUAUUUUCAUCAAUUCUAGACGGACAGGUAGAGAUGUGGACUCAUCAAUGCUGAUUCUAAUGAAAACUCACGGACUUCACUCAUAACAGAACGCCUUUAGGCCUUUAUAUCAGCGAUACUUUAUCUUGCUUGGACAAUUAUUUGGGUUCUACUGUAACAAAAAGUUGUAAGAAACAAAUUCAAAUGGAAAGAGGAACUAAUUUCAGUAAGCUGGGUGACAUCACUGACAUGAUUAACUAAGAGAAAAAAAAUUCAUAAAAACCAAUACAGAAACAUGACAAGUUAUGAUUUAAACUAUAAAAAUUAAUACUUUAGCUCUUAAAUCCAUUUCCUUUCUGUAGCAGAUAAGGCAUGAAAUUUAAACAAAUGCACAAACUCUAAAAUAUACUUAGGAUAAACGGAUGGGAUGACUAAACCGCAUUAAUACAUAAGAAAACCCUAUUAUUUUACAAAAUGCCCAACUGUGAAUCUAAUUAUAUUCCAACUCCCAAGACUUUUACCCAGUAAUUCAAGAUACAUAAAAGUGAAUAUUCUUUAUAAUAAGAUCUAUAAAGCAUCAUUUUACUUCAUUUCCUUAAAACUGUGGAUACAUGUAGAGGAAUGUAUUAAUGGUAAAGUAGAACUGUCCAACUUUUGAACACCCUCAAAAAGGGCUCUAUCAUGUAACUGCAGUAGUCUUGUUAAUGUUACACUGAAGAGUGAUACACAAAGGAGCUUGCUCUGUAGAAAGAAUUCUAUCUAGAUUCCCAGGAACAGAUACCACUGUAAGAACAGUCUGCUCAUGCAGGAACAGUUAAAUGUUUUGUUUCUCCUUUGCAUUAAAUUCAGUUUCUCUAUAUACUGUGCCUUUAAACAGAAGUGUGUUUUCAUGUGUUCUUAUCUAAAAGGAAAACUGCUUUAUCAUAGGAAAGGUCAAAGGUGACACUCUGUAUACACAUACAAAGAGUCCUUUUAUAACCAUAAGAGAGAACAAAAAGGAAUGUAAAACUCAUCUUCCCAACUUCAAAAGAAAGUCUGAAAUGGAUUACCAAGGAAAUUAGUCACUGAUCUUCUGAAGAUGAAAUUAGAUGUUACAGGAGAUCUGCAGGUUUUCAACUAACUCAUGAAGAGUACCAUGGAAUAUGUGAACACCCUGCCCAUGCACACAGGGCUCGCUCCCUCCCAAGGUACAGAUCCAAAGGUUUUACUCUGCCAUCGUUCAGAAGGCCUUCUUGGAGCAUUCUCUUCUACCUUACUUAACAGAAACUGUCUCCUUCUUUGACGAGGUCCAUGUACGUACACUGUGCUACAAUUCACCUCACCCACAUCCUUCCCCCCCACAAGGUCGUUUUAUUGUCAAACCAUAAAUACAACACUGAGAUGAAAUCAUUUAAGCAACUGAUCCUCCCUAACCAUUAAAACGAUGUCUUUUUGCCUUGGCAUCAACCAACUGGGAAAUAAUGUUGCAAGAAUUCGGGGUGUAGGGGGUGCUGAAUUUCCGGCAGGGGCUUUUGGCGAUUUAAGGAACCAAGUGGAACUUUCCUCUUCUCCCUAGGAAUGUCCCACUUUUGGACAAGAACAGACAGGUAAAAAGAGCAACAUUUAAACAGCUCAGUUUUAAAUUUUAUUACCUUGUAAAAAUCUUUUUUUUUUUUUUUUUUUCUGUUCCUUUCCUCCAUUUGACAUCAGUAAAAGUUUUAAACACCACAAAACUGAUUUGGGUGUAAAUGGCAAAUGGUACCAAAACGAAAUGAAACCAAAAAUCCAAAGGACAAACAGAAAAAAAGCCUAAAUAAACCCUCAAGUUUGGUCUUGGGGGUUUACAUAUCACAAGAACCGUCAACUCAACCCCCGGGCAACGUGACUCCUUGGAGAACUGCUGGGUCCACACCAAUGACACAGGAGACCGGAAACAACGUCUUCUGUUAAUUAACACAGCAAGGCUGACACUAGGUAACUUGUUUUUUUAAAUACAGUACAUUGUACACAGGUCCCAAGAAAACCCUGCAUAAGCCCCUUGUGGAGACUUGAGCCAACGCACUGGCUGUUUAUAAAAAUAUUGUGUUGCUACAAAAGUAUAAAUUAAUGCUACUGGUACUAAGAAAUAUUAAACACAUAAAACUUCCAAGGAUUAAGAAAAAUAUUCAUUAGUACCUGUAGAAAACUCUGGCCUAAAAAGAUUUUUUUGUGUUUCUUUUCUUGUAAAUUUUUUUUGGGUACUUUUUUAAGAUGACUUGAGUUUCUUGCACUUGGAGAGAGACACAGUCAGCUGUGCCUAUGGCAUUGCCUAGAACGUCUUAACUACUGAGAAAGGCUGGGGGUGCACACGCAUGGGUACUGAGUGGGGCCCGGGAGGGAGGGGCACCAAGGCUUUCUCAAGAUUUACCUGAUGUGAAAGAAUCACUGAUGCGAAGUCACGGGGAAAAGAAAAAGGCAGGAUCAUCACAGCACCACUGAGAAUAAUUUAUGCUUUUUUAAAAAUAUCUCUGCUUCAGGUGGUUGCACAAAAUGAUUUCCUGAUGCUUGGCACCUGAAUGGCCCUGGACGCACUGCCCGGCGGGGCCGGGAGACUCCAGCCCCGUGCCAGGCCACGAGCUCGCUCACCGCUUUGGAACCCAGCCCCCUGGCUGGGUGGGAGGGAAGGGUCCCAGGUAGGGACCGGCUGCCACCUGGGUUGCUGGAGGAGCCCCCCUUCCGGCUGGCCUCAGACUCCACGGUCUCUUGCCAACCUGGACUUCAGGAAGCGCCACAGGGAUCCCAGACCCCUGAGGCUGCGGACCAGGCCAGGCUGUGCCCCUUUAAGGAACUUUGGAUCGAAGAGUCAAGGUGCCUGGUGGGUGGGGAAGACACCCAUGGGUCCUGAUGCUGACACCCACCUGCAAACAUAGCAAAUCCUUCUCUGUACAGGAGUUGAAUGAACCUUUAAAGCAUCGCCCGUGGUGGUGGAGGGGCAUGAAUAUAACAAACGGCAACCCGCUGCCCUUCACCCUCAUCAAAGUGGGAGCAGGUGCCUCUGCGCACAGAAACCACAGGGUCCCUCCAGGGGAUGGUGGGGCUCCACUGACCACGAUCCUCAAACGCAAAUGAGAGGAAGAAAAACAACAACAACAAAAUCCUCCAGAAAACCCUGAAAAGGGGACAGUGGGAGGGAAACAGAAGAGGGAAAACACUGCAUCACUGGUGCACCAUAACUGGCCUAGCAAACAUUAGCCACAGUGAAGAGGGGGCAGGCCCCUUCCCAGUUCUCCCACUGGCCCGGCUGGAUACAGGGGGCUGAGGUGGGGCUGGCGGGGCUGAGACAGGAGCCCCCAGCCACUGUCUCCAGCGGACAGCCUGAGCCUUACUUAGCCUCCUGGUUUCAUCUAAACCAGCAGCCUUUCUAGAGGCCCUCCCUCAGGUAUGUCCCAGGGACAGAGGCACUGCCGCUGUGCCCAAGGCAAGGGCAGAGCUUUGAACCUGCCCGGCUCAGUGGGCAGGAGGAGACUGCUGGCCGUGCUUUGGGUGCCUCCUCUUCCCGUCUCUGCAGGCACAUCCAUCGUCACGGAAACACUCAAGUACAGUCCCCUUCUGGGCCAUGGCUCACAGGACCUCCCUUCUCCAUCUGCAUCCCAGGUUCAUUCCAAACCUUUCUUGUGAACCUGUGCCCGCAAGGGUGCAUGCUGCAUCCCUGACAGCUCUCCAGGUGCCCACUUUCCAAGGAGUCUAGGCCAAGUCCAGGCGCAAGCCUAGGGGACCCCUAAAGGCAGAGGGUCUGCUUCACAGUGGAAAACACGCCUUGCAGAGUUUUUCUCUGGUGUUUCUCGGAAGUGCAGGAGAGAAAGGAGCAAACUGAAGGAGAAGACGCUUGCCAGCCUACAGAGCUGGUGUCAAAAAAAGUCCUUCCCAGAAAUCUGGAGAUGCAGAACGUCUCAACUGUGUCAUCGGACUGUCCUCUCUUCACCAAGAAACCUUCUAUUGGCGGGUUCUGUGAAACCCCUGCUGCUUGAUGACUCUGAGCUCCUAAAAGGUCCCUGCAGUUAGAUUCUGUGCUUUUCCCCCUCAAUAUUAACUAGAAAACUCCUAUUUACAUAGGAUAGCAAGCUACGUUUUUUCCAACCACGUUCUCUAAAAUACGUCACAGUACAGUAUCAUGUUUGUUGCUUCACACAGAUGCUAAGAUUAAAAAGAUGACCAUGUCUACACUGGAUAGAAAAGAUGACUUAUAAAACAUGGCAGAGUUCAAUUUAAACAUUUAAAGAUUACAUAGAGAAGAUGGUCAUAAAUUAUCUGAAGUUUUACAACCUGUUCAUAAAGGUUAUUAAAAUUUAUUUUCAACACUGACAUUCAAAUAAAACUCAAUUGUGAAAAAUCUCUCCCAGUCCUACAAAAUGUGUUCAGUGAUUCUCUAUGGGUCAAGAAGACAGUUCCAAUGAUAUAAAAAUAAGUUCUGGGCCAUUGGACAUCUCAAAUAUCAAGUGAUUUGAUUAAGUAAACAGAUGGCACUGAAAUUUAAAAUGACAAACUUAUAACUCUUUUUAAAAAAUUGUAAUUACUUAGACUCCUAAAGAUAAGCUGUUCAUCUCGAAAAGAAAAACCAAAACAGCUAUUUCACUGAAUAGAAACAAUCUUCUUACCCAUCCUCAACCAUGAAGGCAAAUUUUAAAUAUGAUAGCAUAUAUAAUGUGACAAUGUUUACUUACAAAUACUCAUCAAAAUUGUUUUUAUUCACUAAUCUGGAGAAAGAAUCUGUGUAUGUUAUGUGUAUUUAAGUUGAUCAGGCAGAAGAAUAAAAGCAAGUCAUUCUGUUUUCGUCUCCAUAUAGGAUACUGCAUGCAUUAACUGUUAUUUCUUGAUUUAUAAGCUUAAGAUCUACUGAAUAAUUUUUUUUAACAACCUUAUGGGAGUAUAUAUAAUUGCUUUACAAUGGUAUGUUAAUUUCUGCUUUAUAACAAAAUGAAUCAGCUAUACAUAUACAUAUAUCCCCAUAUCUCCUCCCUCUUGCGUCUCCCUCCCACCCUCCCUAUCCCAUCACUCAGGGUGGUCACAAAGCACGCGGCUGCUUCCCACUAGCUAUCUGUUUUACAUUUGGUAGUGUAUAUAUGUCCAUGCCACUCUCUCACUUUGUCACAACUUACCCUUCCCCCUCCCUGUGUCCUCAAGUCCAUUCUCUAUGUCUGCGUCUUUAUUCCUGUCCUGGCCCUACGUUCAUCAGAACCAUUUUUUUUUAGAUUCCAUAUAUAUGUGUUAGCAUAUGGUAUUUGUUUUUCUCCUUCUGACUUACUUCACUCUGUAUGACAGACUCUAGGUCCAUCCACGUCUCUACAAAUAACUCAAUUGCGUUUCUUUUUAUGGCUAAUAUUCCAUGGUAUAUAUGUGCCACAUCUUAUUUAUCCAUUCAUCUGUCGAUGGACACUUAGGUUGCUUCCAUGUCCUGGCUAUUGUAAAUAGAGCUGCAAUGAACAUUGUGGUACAUGACUCUUUUUGAAUUAUGGUUUUCUCAGGGUGUAUGCCCAGUAGUGGGAUUGCUAGGUCAUAUGGUAGUUCUAUUUGCAGUUUUCUAAGGAACCUCCAUACUGUUCUCCACAGUGGCUGUAUCACUUUACAUUCCCACCAACAGUGCAAAGGGUUCCCUUUUCUCCACACCCUCUCCAGCAUUUAUUGUUUGUAAAUUUUUUGAUGACGGCCAUUCUGAC
Molecule: long non-coding RNA, 17187 nt
Organism: Orcinus orca (killer whale)
Lineage: Eukaryota; Metazoa; Chordata; Mammalia; Artiodactyla; Delphinidae
Exons: 13
Source: RefSeq, a predicted model, not a curated record